UACGUAGGGUGCGAGCGUUGUCCGGAAUCACUGGGCGUAAAGGGCGCGUAGGCGGCAUGCCAAGCGUGUGGUGAAAGCCCGGGGCUCAACCCCGGGUCGGCCGUGCGGACUGGCGUGCUCGAGCACUGUAGGGGCGGGUGGAAUUCCGGGUGUAGCGGUGGAAUGCGCAGAUAUCAGGAGGAACACCGAUGGCGAAGGCAGGUCUCUGGGCAUUAACUGACGCUGAGGAGCGAAAGCAUGGGGAGCGAACAGG
This 253-nucleotide ribosomal RNA is filed under the name uncultured bacterium. Its description in RNAcentral is "partial 16S ribosomal RNA". It matches the Rfam family "Bacterial small subunit ribosomal RNA", at positions 524 to 776 of the family's 1533-position model. The record is from RNAcentral.